AUUAUGAAGAACUGGACUUUGACAUCUGAGUCUUGGAAUUCUGGGUAGAGCAAGGAGAGGAGCAGUGGCCUGGGUCUCUGUUUUCAAAACACUCGGACCUGUCUUUUUCUGAGUGGAAAAAUCAUGGGCCCGAAACCGAAAGCCCAACCUGCUCAGGGUGCUCCACCUGCCCCGGGUGCUCCACCUGCCCGGGGUGCUCCACCUGCCCGGGGUGCUCGGCCUGCCCGGGGUGCUCCGCCUGCCCGGGGUGCUCGGCCUGCCCGGGGUGCUCCGCCUGCCCGGGGUGCUCGGCCUGCCCCGGGUGCUCCGCCUGCCCGGGGUGCUCGGCCUGCCCGGGGUGCUCCGCCUGCCCGGGGUGCUCGGCCUGCCCCGGGUGCUCCGCCUGCCCGGGGUGCUCGGCCUGCCCCGGGUGCUCCGCCUGCCCAGGGUGCUCCACCUGACCCAGAUAGGAGUCCUAAACAGACGCCUGAAGAACUGGCCUUUUAUGCUCCGAAUUAUUUAUGUUUGACUCUCUUGGCUAUAGUUUUUUGCCCUCCCUUGGGACUCAUAAGUGUCUACUUCUGCUAUAAGACUUCAGUUGCCAACUGGAACAGCAACUGGGAAGAAGCUUAUACCAACUCAGGCCGAACUGGCUGUGUGGAUGUAUUCGCCAUACUCAUUGGUUUGGGCCUCCUUUACGGAUAUAUCCUAUUUUACUGAAGGCCAAGAACAGAGUGCCAGGGUUUUACAACCCAACAAACCCACCCACUAAGACACUGACCAGCCACCAUGCAAGAAACUCAACAGCUGAUUCAUCCCCUAGCCAAGAAACUUGCCACCAACCAAGGAACACAACAUCCAAGCAACCCAGCACCCUAGGAACAACUAGGCCCCUGCCUGUACCACAUCAGCUCACCUGGCCUCCAGAGGAAUCUUCAUUCACCUUGGGAUCCACACAUCAGCACCUGACAUCCUCUUAUUUCCUUAACACUGGGCUGCUCUCUCAGAAAAAAAAUUAAACCAAUAAAACUGAAAAGAAUGUU
Molecule: long non-coding RNA, 1022 nt
Filed under: Heterocephalus glaber (naked mole-rat)
Lineage: Eukaryota; Metazoa; Chordata; Mammalia; Rodentia; Bathyergidae
Description: lncRNA (ENSHGLG00000047897.1)
Source: RNAcentral